RNAcentral lists this ribosomal RNA (616 nucleotides) under Tetraena coccinea. Its description in RNAcentral is "eukaryotic LSU rRNA". The stretch from base 190 to 345 matches the Rfam family "5.8S ribosomal RNA". The record is from RNAcentral. Lineage: Eukaryota; Viridiplantae; Streptophyta; Magnoliopsida; Zygophyllales; Zygophyllaceae.
AACGACCCGCGAACAAGUUUUCUAACUACCUCGGGCGGGGGCCUGCGCGAGAGCGCUCGCCUCCGACCGACGAGCGUCGAGGGGGUAACUCCUCGGCCUCACAACGAACCCCGGCGCGGAAAGCGCCAAGGAAUACAAAACACGAUGGGACGGCGCGUUCGCGCGUCUUCCCACAGUCGAAAACUAAACGACUCUCGGCAACGGAUAUCUCGGCUCUCGCAUCGAUGAAGAACGUAGCGAAAUGCGAUACUUGGUGUGAAUUGCAGAAUCCCGCGAACCAUCGAGUCUUUGAACGCAAGUUGCGCCCGAAGCCUUCGGGCCGAGGGCACGUCUGCCUGGGUGUCACUCAACGUCGCCCCCACCCCACGCGCAGUGGGAGGUGGAGCGUAUGAUGGCCUCCCGUGAGCCACCGCUCGCGGUUGGCCCAAACACGAGUCCUCGGUGCGGGGUUGCGCCACGGCCUGCGGUGGUCGAACGAACGUGAAGCCCUGACGGACACCGUGCGCACGCCCCGACCCUACGUAGGCACUCACGACCCCAACGCGACCUAACCGGUUGCCAACGACGCGACCCCAGGUCAGGCGGGACGACCCGCUGAGUUUAACAUUAAAAACGG